This 531-nucleotide small RNA is filed under the name Pan troglodytes (chimpanzee). RNAcentral's name for it is "processed transcript". The record is from RNAcentral. Lineage: Eukaryota; Metazoa; Chordata; Mammalia; Primates; Hominidae.
GACUUGGACUUUGAGGAAAAUGAGAAACCAUUGGCCAGUUUUGGGUAUUGGGAGAAGGAGAGGCUGUCAACCCACGCCACUAUGCUAUCUCUAACUCUGCCAUCCAGACCGAGCAAACGUACUUAAGACCUUUGUGUAAGAUCAGAAAAUCAUAAGACAGCAUUAAAAGUACUAUACAGGAGGAGAUGGAACAAGAUGGCCAAAUAGAAGCCUCCAGCAAUCAUCUCCCCCAAAGGAAUUGAACAACUAUCAAAACAAAAUUGAACAACUAUCUAAACAAAAAAAGUACCUUCAUAAAAAGCAAAAAUCAGGACAAUAUCAGAAUGGCACAUACAAGUGUCCCCAAGUCAUAUUUGGAAUAAGAUCACUUGGGAACACAAGUCAAAGAAGGACACAGUGUUCUGCCUCUCCUGAGUAAGCAGCAACAAGGCACCAUCUUGGAAUCAGAGGGCAGCCCUCACCAGACAACUAAAUCUGCAGACACCUUGGACUUCCCAGCCUCCAGAACUGUCUUUCUGGCAACUGUCUAAA